This 478-nucleotide ribosomal RNA is filed under the name uncultured bacterium. Its description in RNAcentral is "partial 16S ribosomal RNA". It matches the Rfam family "Bacterial small subunit ribosomal RNA", at positions 31 to 507 of the family's 1533-position model. The record is from RNAcentral.
GAGGAACGCUGGCGGCGUGCCUAACACAUGCAAGUCGAACGGAGUCCAGCCUUUAAGACCUUCGGGUCAAAGAGGGGAAGACUGAGUGGCGGACGGGUGAGUAACACGUGGGCAACCUGGCUCAUAGAGGGGGAUAACAGAGAGAAAUUUCUGCUAAUACCGCAUAAGCACACACUGCCGCAUGGCAGAGGGUGAAAAGAGAAUCGCUAUGAGAUGGACCCGCGUCUGAUUAGCCAGUUGGCAGGGUAAGAGCCUACCAAAGCGACGAUCAGUAGCCGAUCUGAGAGGAUGAACGGCCACAUUGGGACUGAGACACGGCCCAAACUCCUACGGGAGGCAGCAGUGGGGGAUAUUGCACAAUGGGGGGAACCCUGAUGCAGCGACGCCGCGUGAGUGAAGAAGUAUUUCGGUAUGUAAAGCUCUAUCAGCAGGGAAGAUAAUGACAGUACCUGAAUAAGAAGCCCCGGCUAACUACGUG